Molecule: ribosomal RNA, 365 nt
Filed under: unidentified archaeon
Lineage: Archaea
Description: bacterial SSU rRNA
Rfam family: Archaeal small subunit ribosomal RNA
Source: RNAcentral
UCAGUAACACGUAGUCAACAUGCCCAGGGGACGUGGAUAACCUCGGGAAACUGAGGACUAAACCGCGACUAAGUCACUACUUCUGGAAUGGGUAGUGACUUAAAUCUAUAUGGCCCCUGGAUUGGACUGCGGCCGAUCAGGCUGUUGGUGAGGUAACUGGCCCACCAAACCUGUAACCGGUACGGGCUCUGAGAGGAGGAGCCCGGAGAUGGGCACUGAGACAAGGGACCAGGCCCUAUGGGGCGCAGCAGGCGCGAAACCUCUGCAAUAGGCGAAAGCCUGACAGGGUUAACUCUGAGUGAUUUCCGUUAAGGAGAUCUUUGGCACCUCUAAAAAAUGGUGCAAGAAUACGGGGUGGGCAAGUC